This is a non-coding RNA of Ciona savignyi (Pacific transparent sea squirt), 52 nucleotides long. Lineage: Eukaryota; Metazoa; Chordata; Ascidiacea; Phlebobranchia; Cionidae. The record is from Rfam.
AUGGCGUCUGACUUCGAAUCAGAAGAUGAGGGUUCGAGUCCCUCUGUGGUCU